Molecule: ribosomal RNA, 249 nt
Filed under: uncultured Prosthecobacter sp.
Lineage: Bacteria; Pseudomonadati; Verrucomicrobiota; Verrucomicrobiia; Verrucomicrobiales; Verrucomicrobiaceae
Description: partial 16S ribosomal RNA
Rfam family: Bacterial small subunit ribosomal RNA
Source: RNAcentral
UCGAGAAUCUUUCACAAUGGGGGCAACCCUGAUGGAGCGACGCCGCGUGGAGGAUAAGGUCUUCGGGUUGUAAACUCCUGUUAUGCGCGAACAAGGUUGCAAGGUUAAUAACUUUGCAAAUUGAUGGGACCGCAAGAGGAAGAGACGGCUAACUCUGUGCCCGCAGCCGCGGUAAUACAGAGGUGUCAAGCGUUGUUCGGAAUCACUGGGGGUAAAGGGUGCGCAGGUGGCGUGGUAAGGCAGAUGUGA